RNAcentral lists this ribosomal RNA (628 nucleotides) under Laticauda colubrina (yellow-lipped sea krait). RNAcentral's name for it is "partial 12S ribosomal RNA". The stretch from base 1 to 500 matches the Rfam family "Microsporidia small subunit ribosomal RNA", at positions 443 to 1311 of the family's 1311-position model. The record is from RNAcentral. Lineage: Eukaryota; Metazoa; Chordata; Lepidosauria; Squamata; Elapidae.
GCUUAGCCGUAACCAAGCAGCUAAAUAACCAGCUACUCGCCAAAUAACUACGAGUUAUAACUUAAAAUUUAAAAGACUUGACGGUACUUCACACCAACCUAGAGGAGCCUGUCUAAUAACCGAUAACCCACGAUUAACCCAACCUACCCUAGCCCAAUCAGUCUAUAUACCGCCGUCGCCAGCUUACCUUAUGAAAGAAACAAAGUAAGCCUAAUAAUAAUACAUUAACACGACAGGUCGAGGUGUAACUAAUGAGUAGGAUAAGAUGGGCUACAAUUUCUAAUCCAGAAAAAACGAAUAGACUAUGAAACUAGAAACUGAAGGCGGAUUUAGCAGUAGGUUAAGAAUAAACAUGCCUAACCGAAGAUAAUGCAAUGAAGUGCGCACACACCGCCCGUCAUCCCUGUAAGACCUAUAUACUAUCCAUAAAAACCAUCGAUCUACUAAACAGGGCAAGUCGUAACACGGUAAGCGUACUGGAAAGUGCGCUUAGAAACAAAAAGUAGCUUAACCAAAGCAUUCGACCUACAAUCGAACGACAUUACACAAUAAUCUUUUUGAGCCAAGGCUAUAACCAUACAAACAUCAUUAUACCACUAAACAAACCAUUUGACCAACUAAGUAGAGG